GACGAACGCUGGCGGCGUGCUUAACACAUGCAAGUCGAACGGUGACGGAGAGCUUGCUCUCCUGAUCAGUGGCGAACGGGUGAGUAACACGUGGGCAACCUGCCCCAGACUUCGGGAUAACGCUUCGAAAGAGGUGCUAAUACCGAAUACGAACGCCGUGGGCAUCCACGGUGUUGGAAAGUUUUUCGGUCUGGGAUGGGCCCGCGGCCUAUCAGCUUGUUGGUGAGGUAAUGGCUCACCAAGGCGACGACGGGUAGCCGGCCUGAGAGGGCGACCGGCCACACUGGGACUGAGAUACGGCCCAGACUCCUACGGGAGGCAGCAGUGGGGAAUAUUGCGCAAUGGGCGAAAGCCUGACGCAGCAACGCCGCGUGGGGGAUGAAGGCCUUCGGGUUGUAAACCUCUUUCAGCAGGGAAGAAGCGAAAGUGACGGUACCUGCAGAAGAAGCACCGGCUAACUACGUGCCAGCAGCCGCCGUAA
RNAcentral lists this ribosomal RNA (481 nucleotides) under uncultured bacterium. RNAcentral's name for it is "partial 16S ribosomal RNA". It matches the Rfam family "Bacterial small subunit ribosomal RNA", at positions 28 to 523 of the family's 1533-position model. The record is from RNAcentral.